This 1331-nucleotide ribosomal RNA is filed under the name uncultured marine archaeon. RNAcentral's name for it is "bacterial SSU rRNA". It matches the Rfam family "Archaeal small subunit ribosomal RNA". The record is from RNAcentral.
UGCCGGACCUGACUGCUAUCGGAUUGAUACUAAGCCAUGCGAGUCAUUGUAGCAAUACAAGGCAUACGGCUCAGUAACGCGUAGUCAACCUAACCUAUGGACGGGAAUAACCUCGGGAAACUGAGAAUAAUGCCCGAUAGAACAUUAUACCUGGAAUGGUUUAUGUUCCAAAUGAUUUAUCGCCGUAGGAUGGGACUGCGGCCUAUCAGUUUGUUGGUGAGGUAAUGGCCCACCAAGACUAUUACAGGUACGGGCUCUGAGAGGAGUAGCCCGGAGAUGGGUACUGAGACACGGACCCAGGCCCUAUGGGGCGCAGCAGGCGAGAAAACUUUGCAAUGUGCGAAAGCACGACAAGGUUAAUCCGAGUGAUUUCUGCUAAAGAAAUCUUUUGUUAGUCCUAGAAACACUAACGAAUAAGGGGUGGGCAAGUUCUGGUGUCAGCCGCCGCGGUAAAACCAGCACCUCAAGUGGUCAGGAUGAUUAUUGGGCCUAAAGCAUCCGUAGCCGGCUCUGUAAGUUUUCGGUUAAAUCUGUACGCUCAACGUACAGGCUGCCGGGAAUACUGCAUAGCUAGGGAGUGGGAGAAGUAGACGGUACUCGGUAGGAAGUGGUAAAAUGCUUUGAUCUAUCGAUGACCACCUGUGGCGAAGGCGGUCUACUAGAACACGUCCGACGGUGAGGGAUGAAAGCUGGGGGAGCAAACCGGAUUAGAUACCCGGGUAGUCCUAGGUGUAAACGCUGUGGACUUGAUGUUGGGGGUGCUCCGAGCACUCUCAGUGUCGAAGCGAAGGUGAUAAGUCCACUGCCUGGGAAGUACGGUCGCAAGGCUGAAACUUAAAGGAAUUGGCGGGGGAGCACCGCAACCUGAGGAUUGUGCGGUUUAAUUGGAUUCAACGCCGGAAAACUCACCAUAGCCGACGGACAAAUGAAGGUCAGUGUAAUGAACUUACCGGAUUGUUCGAGAGGUAGUGCAUGGCCGCCGUCAGUUCGUACCGCAAGGCGUUCUGUUAAGUCAGAUAACGAACGAGACCCUCAUCUCUAUUUGCUAACUGGAUCUCCGGAUCCAGUGCACUAUAGGGAGACCGCUGGCGCUAAGUCAGAGGAAGGGGAGGGCAACGGUAGGUCAGUAUGCUCCGAAUGCUAUGGGCUACACGCGCAAUACAAAGGACAGGACAAUGGGCUGCUGCUCCGAAAGGAAUGAUAGCUAUCCCGAAACCUGUUCGUAGUUCGGAUUGAGGGCUGUAACUCGCCCUCAUGAAGCUGGAUUAGGUAGUAAUCGCGUCUCAAAAAGGCGCGGUGAAUAUGCCCCUGCUCCUUGCACACACCGCCCG